AGAGUUUGAUCAUGGCUCAGGAUGAACGCUGGCGGCGUGCCUAACACAUGCAAGUCGAACGGUAACAGGUCUAGUUUACUAGAUGCUGACGAGUGGCGGACGGCUGAGUAACACGUGGGAACGUACCCCAAAGUGAGGAAUAACUGCCCGAAAGGGUAGCUAAUGCCGCAUAUGGUCUUCGGAUUAAAGGAUUUAUCCGCUUUGGGAACGGCCUGCGUCGGAUUAGGUUGUUGGUGAGGUAAUGGCUCACCAAGCCGACGAUCCGUAGCUGGUCUGAGAGGAUGACCAGCCAGACUGGAACUGAGACACGGUCCAGACUCCUACGGGAGGCAGCA
RNAcentral lists this ribosomal RNA (335 nucleotides) under uncultured Candidatus Saccharibacteria bacterium. RNAcentral describes it as "bacterial SSU rRNA". It matches the Rfam family "Bacterial small subunit ribosomal RNA", at positions 8 to 353 of the family's 1533-position model. Lineage: Bacteria; Candidatus Saccharimonadota. The record is from RNAcentral.